UGGACACAAAAUUAAGCUAAAUUUAACCCAGAGAAUGACAAGUGACCUGAAGGAAUUAUUAACAUGUUUCAAAUUAUUAAGACUCCAGAUUUACACAAGCCUAGUACACCUGCCUUUCUCAACGUCAUGAAAAUAAUGAUGAUGGGCAGGUGAACCUCUCUCAUAGAAGGAAUGAAGACAAAGUAGUAACCAAGUCAAUUAGCGAGGUCAGUUCAGAUCAGUUAACUGAAGUCAGUCAAAGGAGGACAUCAACGGGAGACGUGAGCAGGGGUCAGCAGCCAUACGCCUGACCACCUUGGUUUCUCGGACGGCUGACAUAUCGGUGGACGUCGGCCUACUUGCUCUUGAACCUCUGGAUGAUA
Molecule: non-coding RNA, 362 nt
Organism: Procambarus clarkii (red swamp crayfish)
Lineage: Eukaryota; Metazoa; Arthropoda; Malacostraca; Decapoda; Cambaridae
Source: RefSeq, a predicted model, not a curated record